Long non-coding RNA from Helianthus annuus (common sunflower), 342 nucleotides. RefSeq lists it as uncharacterized. The transcript is spliced from 3 exons. NCBI's taxonomy places the organism in Eukaryota, Viridiplantae, Streptophyta, Magnoliopsida, Asterales, Asteraceae. The record is from RefSeq and is a predicted model, not a curated record.
UGCAGUGUGUGUUGGUGGGGUGUGCGACGCAGGAAAGGGGAGGAGAGGGGAAAACCCUUCUUCUCCAAAUCAUCAAGAACCUAACAAUUGGAGGCGUUUAUGGAUGAAAUCCGUAUGCAUGUGAUCAAUUUCUCAAUCAUCUCUGGGUUUCCAACAUGGGGUAUCGCAUGAGCAUGGAAGGCAAAUGGGUCAAGAGGAAGCAAGAAAGCGAAUGCGAAUAGGAACGCUUAAGGUGUCGUUCGGGUUUCCUCUACCACUAGUGAAGUGAAGCAGACAUAGAUCGAGUUGAGAGCAAGGAUUGUACGGGAAAGAAAGGUCUCAUAGUUUGUUUUAAACAGGUCA